CCUACGGGCGGCAGCAGUGGGGAAUAUUGGACAAUGGGGGGAACCCUGAUCCAGCCAUGCCGCGUGUGUGAAGAAGGCCCUCGGGUUGUAAAGCACUUUCAGUGAGGAAGAACGCCUGGUGGUUAAUACCCAUCAGGAAAGACAUCACUCACAGAAGAAGCACCGGCUAACUCCGUGCCAGCAGCCGCGGUAAUACGGAGGGUGCGAGCGUUAAUCGGAAUUACUGGGCGUAAAGCGCGCGUAGGUGGCUUGAUAAGCCGGUUGUGAAAGCCCCGGGCUCAACCUGGGAACGGCAUCCGGAACUGUCAAGCUAGAGUGCAGGAGAGGAAGGUAGAACUCCCGGUGUAGCGGUGAAAUGCGUAGAGAUCGGGAGGAAUACCAGUGGCGAAGGCGGCCUUCUGGACUGACACUGACACUGAGGUGCGAAAGCGUGGGUAGCAAACAGGAUUAGAUACCCGAGUAGUC
Molecule: ribosomal RNA, 465 nt
Filed under: Vreelandella stevensii
Lineage: Bacteria; Pseudomonadati; Pseudomonadota; Gammaproteobacteria; Oceanospirillales; Halomonadaceae
Description: partial 16S ribosomal RNA
Rfam family: Bacterial small subunit ribosomal RNA
Source: RNAcentral